This 424-nucleotide ribosomal RNA is filed under the name uncultured bacterium. RNAcentral's name for it is "bacterial SSU rRNA". It matches the Rfam family "Bacterial small subunit ribosomal RNA", at positions 355 to 776 of the family's 1533-position model. The record is from RNAcentral.
UGAGGAAUAUUGCGCAAUGGACGAAAGUCUGACGCAGCCAUGCCGCGUGCAGGAUGACGGCGCUACGCGUUGUAAACUGCUUUUAUUUACAAAGAAACCUCGGGACGUGUCCCGAGCUGACGGUAGUAUUUGAAUAAGCACCGGCUAACUCCGUGCCAGCAGCCGCGGUAAUACGGAGGGUGCAAGCGUUAUCCGGAUUUAUUGGGUUUAAAGGGUCCGUAGGCGGAUGAUUAAGUCAGUGGUGAAAGCCCACAGCUCAACUGUGGAACUGCCAUUGAUACUGAUCAUCUUGAGUACAUUUGAAGUUGGCGGAAUAGGUCAUGUAGCGGUGAAAUGCUUAGAUAUGACCUAGAACACCGAUUGCGAAGGCAGCCAACUAAGCUGUAACUGACGCUGAGGGACGAAAGCGUGGGGAGCGAACAGG